Long non-coding RNA from Haliotis rubra (blacklip abalone), 461 nucleotides. RefSeq lists it as uncharacterized. The record is from RefSeq and is a predicted model, not a curated record. Lineage: Eukaryota; Metazoa; Mollusca; Gastropoda; Lepetellida; Haliotidae. The transcript is spliced from 4 exons.
UAGAGAGUAAACAAAAAUGGCUGCCACUACGGUAACGCUUGAAAUCUAAUGGAGGAUAUUUCCUAGAUUAUUUCCUACACAGCCGUAAAAUGAUAUAGGAGUAAGCGUGACCGAGCCGGCUUUUGAAAGUAGGUAUGUAAAAUGUAUAAAAGCAGGAGACCAAGCCCAUUCACCAUCUCACAACAGCCAUCCAGAGGAAACACCAUAUCGACACUGUUGAUCUAUCUGUAUCCUACGAUGACUGGGAAACUUUACGUUGCGAUGAUGCUGGUUCUCCUUGUGGCUGGCGCAAACGCUCAGUUUGGCAGGUGUAUCCAGGCCGGUUCGCAGUGCAACAAUAUCCUUGGGGGCUAUCCACAGACUGCUUGCUGUAGGGGCCUCAUGUGCAAGAUGGUCACGAUGACCUACAGCACGUGUCAGUACGUGACAGGGAGGCGUUGAUAUCCCUGCAUCCAUUGCUG